RNAcentral lists this ribosomal RNA (262 nucleotides) under uncultured bacterium. RNAcentral describes it as "partial 16S ribosomal RNA". It matches the Rfam family "Bacterial small subunit ribosomal RNA", at positions 515 to 776 of the family's 1533-position model. The record is from RNAcentral.
CCGCGGUAAUACAGAGGGUGCAAGCGUUAAUCGGAAUUACUGGGCGUAAAGCGUGCGUAGACGGUUACGUAAGUCGGGUGUGAAAGCCCCGGGCUCAACCCGGGAAUUGCAUUCGAGACUGUGUAGCUAGGGUGCGGAAGAGGGAAGCGGAAUUUCCGGUGUAGCGGUGAAAUGCGUAGAUAUCGGAAGGAACAUCAGUGGCGAAAGCGGCUUCCUGGUCCAGCACCGACGUUCAGGCACGAAAGCGUGGGGAGCAAACAGG